GCCGGGUGUGGUGGCUCACACCUGUAAUCCCAGCACUUUGGGAGGCUGAGGCAGGUGGAUCACCUGAGGUCAGGAGUUCAAGACAGGCCUGGCCAACAUGGUGAAACCCUGUCUCUA
Pongo abelii (Sumatran orangutan) is the source of this 117-nucleotide unclassified non-coding RNA. It matches the Rfam family "Metazoan signal recognition particle RNA". Rfam says of the family: The signal recognition particle (SRP) is a universally conserved ribonucleoprotein. It is involved in the co-translational targeting of proteins to membranes. The record is from Ensembl. NCBI's taxonomy places the organism in Eukaryota, Metazoa, Chordata, Mammalia, Primates, Hominidae.